UCCCGGAUAGCUCAGCGGUAGAGCAAGUGACUGUUAAUCACUGGGUCGCAGGUUCGAUCCCUGCUCCGGGAGCCA
This 75-nucleotide transfer RNA is filed under the name Lysobacterales bacterium. Its description in RNAcentral is "tRNA-Asn". It matches the Rfam family "tRNA". From Rfam's summary of the family: Transfer RNA (tRNA) molecules are approximately 80 nucleotides in length. Their secondary structure includes four short double-helical elements and three loops (D, anti-codon, and T loops). Further hydrogen bonds mediate the characteristic L-shaped molecular structure. tRNAs have two regions of fundamental functional importance: the anti-codon, which is responsible for specific mRNA codon recognition, and the 3' end, to which the tRNAs corresponding amino acid is attached (by aminoacyl-tRNA synthetases). tRNAs cope with the degeneracy of the genetic code in two manners: having more than one tRNA (with a specific anti-codon) for a particular amino acid; and 'wobble' base-pairing, i.e. permitting non-standard base-pairing at the 3rd anti-codon position. The record is from RNAcentral. RNAcentral also lists the same sequence under 2 other names. Lineage: Bacteria; Pseudomonadati; Pseudomonadota; Gammaproteobacteria; Lysobacterales.